UACGUAGGGUGCAAGCGUUGUCCGGAAUUAUUGGGCGUAAAGAGCUCGUAGGCGGUUUGUCGCGUCUGCUGUGAAAUCUUAGGGCUUAACCCUGAGCUUGCAGUGGGUACGGGCAGACUAGAGUGCGGUAGGGGAGACUGGAAUUCCUGGUGUAGCGGUGAAAUGCGCAGAUAUCAGGAGGAACACCGGUGGCGAAGGCGGGUCUCUGGGCCGUUGCUGACGCUGAGGCGCGACAGCGUGGGGAGCAAACAGG
This 253-nucleotide ribosomal RNA is filed under the name uncultured bacterium. Its description in RNAcentral is "partial 16S ribosomal RNA". It matches the Rfam family "Bacterial small subunit ribosomal RNA", at positions 524 to 776 of the family's 1533-position model. The record is from RNAcentral.